AAAGAUGGUCUUGCUAUCACUAAGAGAUUGGUCCCCGCGGUGUAUUAGUUAGUUGGUGAGGUAAUGGCUCACCAAGACAAUGAUACAUAGCCGAGUUGAGAGACUGACCGGCCACAAUGGGACUGAGACACGGCCCAUACUCCUACGGGAGGCAGCAGUAGGGAAUCUUCCACAAUGGACGAAAGUCUGAUGGAGCAACGCCGCGUGUGUGAUGAAGGGUUUCGGCUCGUAAAACACUGUUGUAAGAGAAGAAUGACAUUGAGAGUAACUGUUCAAUGUGUGACGGGUAUCUUACCAGAAAGGAACGGCUAAAUACGUG
This 319-nucleotide ribosomal RNA is filed under the name uncultured bacterium. Its description in RNAcentral is "bacterial SSU rRNA". It matches the Rfam family "Bacterial small subunit ribosomal RNA", at positions 202 to 507 of the family's 1533-position model. The record is from RNAcentral.